GGAACCAAUCUUGUUAUUAGUGCUAAGAGUAGUGUUUAGAUCAUGUUUAUUUGUGAUUCAUGACAUUGAUGUCUUAGAGUGGCAAUAGUAGUCAGCUAAGUGCUAGGUAAUUGCAUGCUUGGCAACGUGGCGUAGCGGCCGGAACAACAGCACAAAGAGUUAGUGUGUGCGCGUGAGUGGAUCGGCAAGCCAGGAGAUAAGUGCAUGAUGCAUUGCUAGUUUACUUAGUCAAGAGUCAUGUGUUUAGUUAGUGGCAGGCUACAUGCAUGGAUCAAGAUAGCCGAGCUGUGUGACCGUUGCGUGAGCCGUGAGGAUCGGUCUGCAAGUGCUAAACGUGUGGCUAGUUAGUGGAGUCAUUAGUGGAGCAUGUAGUUAAUGGGUGAGUGGCUGUGUCAGCCGUGUGUGGCUAUUUAAGCCAAUGUAAUCAUUCGAGUUUGCAAAUGAGAAGAAGAGAAAAGAUGUAGCCACGGUUGUACCAAGGGAGGUAGUCUGGGCAAAGCCUUUGUGUGCUCCUCCUUGGUGUAUGCGUGUGUGUGUUUGUCAGAUACAAGUGAGAUUGAGAGAUUGUGAGGGAGAAGAUGAUCAGGGAGCUGCAAGGUGCAGCUCCUACAUAUCACAAUUCACAAGCGCCAAAUGUACAGGUUCCAACUUCAUUACAAGGCAUUGUUAUUGUUUCA
Non-coding RNA from Lolium perenne, 677 nucleotides. NCBI's taxonomy places the organism in Eukaryota, Viridiplantae, Streptophyta, Magnoliopsida, Poales, Poaceae. The record is from RefSeq and is a predicted model, not a curated record.